GUUCUACUUGAAGGGAUGAUCUUGGGAACUAUAUCUUGUCUCCAGCUUCUUUCUCCCUGGUUCUCUCUUUCUGUGCUUGCUGGCUCCAUGAAAUGAGUAGCUCUUUUCCACCAUGCCCUUUGGUUACGACUUUUCUGCCUUUCCAUAGGCCUAAAAGCAAUUGAACCAGCCAAUAAUGGACUGGACCUCUGAAGCCAUGAGCCAAAAUAAACCUUUCUUCCUUUAUGUUUUUUUUUUUUUUUUAUCAUGGGUGUUUCGUCACAGAGCUGACUACCAAAGUAUAUAUUCUUUUGGAAAGUACUCUGAGGUUUGCAAGUACAAAAUGGUGAUCUGUGGAUUGAAUAUUUUUCUGUCUAAUCCACAUGCUCCAAUGGGGACAAUUUCUAAAUUUUUGUUUCAGAUAAUCUUACUGAGUUUGGUUUUGAUUUCUACUUUGGGACCUCUCCUUAGAAGAGUCAGAGUUUUCCUGGGACUCUUCAGUGAGACGAUUCUUACAUCUUGGGUGGACCCCUACAAGGCUGUACUCGAUCCCAGCGACUUGCUGGGCUUCACACCAGUAAACUAAGACCCCUGGUUGGUCAGUAGUGCCAAAUGAAGGAAUGCAUCCUUUGGUGAAAAAAAAAUCUAUAUAUACUGGAGGGAUUGUAUAUAUUAUGACAGGUUGGUGAAAUCCUCUGGAUAUUCGUCUGGAAAUCAAGGACAGUCAAUAGUUUUGAAUCUAUUACUAGAUAUCAACAAGAUACAGAAUCAAACAUUCCCAGUGUUUUGCUUCUCAGUCUGUAAAAC
RNAcentral lists this long non-coding RNA (786 nucleotides) under Fukomys damarensis (Damara mole-rat). RNAcentral's name for it is "lncRNA (ENSFDAG00000033529.1)". The record is from RNAcentral. Lineage: Eukaryota; Metazoa; Chordata; Mammalia; Rodentia; Bathyergidae.